UACGAAGGGUGCAAACGUUUGCUCGGAAUCAUUGGGCGUAAAGCGCACGUAGGCGGCUUUGCAAGUCGGACGUGAAAUCCCUCAGCUCAACUGAGGAAGUGCAUCCGAAACUGCAAGGCUUGAGUACUGAAGAGGAUCGCGGAAUUCCCGGUGUAGAGGUGAAAUUCGUAGAUAUCGGGAGGAACACCAGUGGCGAAGGCGGCGAUCUGGGCAGAUACUGACGCUGAGGUGCGAAAGCGUGGGGAGCAAACAGG
Molecule: ribosomal RNA, 254 nt
Filed under: uncultured bacterium
Lineage: Bacteria
Description: partial 16S ribosomal RNA
Rfam family: Bacterial small subunit ribosomal RNA
Source: RNAcentral